AGUCAGGCACACAGGUGGUGGUGCUGUGUGUUUCCUAUCCUCCCCUGACAUGAUUUCAAAGCCCAGAAAAACCAGAAGGCCUAGAGGAAUAAUCAGCCGUCAGAGAAUGGAGUGGAGAAAGACAAAGCACACUGCUUCUGCUAUAAAUAACAACUGAACCACCACAAAAGCUCCUGUAUCAAGUUCUAUUUUACUAUUGGGGAGCCAAGACAAGAGGUCUGGAGGGCCAGAGUCUCAAUCCUCAAGAAUUGGGAUCCAGAGGGGCUUGGAAGUCAUUGUCAGCAUCCAUGAAACCAGGGUCUUGGAAAGAGUUGAUAAGGAAUUCUCAGCAGUAUCAUAAGGUGAAUGCUGAGUGGCGAAUGACCACUUAG
Molecule: long non-coding RNA, 371 nt
Filed under: Ictidomys tridecemlineatus (thirteen-lined ground squirrel)
Lineage: Eukaryota; Metazoa; Chordata; Mammalia; Rodentia; Sciuridae
Description: lncRNA (ENSSTOG00000034427.1)
Source: RNAcentral